This 812-nucleotide long non-coding RNA is filed under the name Oncorhynchus kisutch (coho salmon). RNAcentral's name for it is "lncRNA (ENSOKIG00005036917.1)". The record is from RNAcentral. Lineage: Eukaryota; Metazoa; Chordata; Actinopteri; Salmoniformes; Salmonidae.
AACAUAGCAAAGCCCACAAUCUAAGAGGUGGCUUCGGGUACUCCGGUAUUUUUUUUGGAUCAGUUAUCAUGCUGCAGCAUCAAUCAUCAUUUGUUGUAGUCUACACCCUCCAUCAGCAUCAGUAUCAAGGUCACAGGGAAACAGGACACCUCUCCCAGAGAAGAAGUGUCACGAUGGGCAGCCACACCGGUCACUCUUUGACUCCUGACCUCACGGAGGUGCGUGGUAACAGAGGUCGCCACCCCGGAGAGUCUUCUCUUUCUCCUCCAGUGGGAGCAGGUGUUGCAAAAGGGCUGACCUCUUGAAGAGAAUGAAAGGGCUGUUUGAUAAUUUACUGGAGUUGAAUGUGCCACACGUGCCUCUCUCCCUAGGGGUGAGGGAGACACUGCCAACAUAGACACUGCCAACACUGCAACUCAAUUAAACAAACCUAAUAAUCACAUAUGGCCUGCUUAUCAUUUAUUAUAUACUGCAUGAACAACAGGCUUAAAAACGUAUUAGCUUAGUAUAUAUUGAAUGUAUACAUGUGCAUCUGUUUGAAUUUAAAGUAUUCAUGACAAGGUUUCAUGUCAAUGCUCUCUGUUACCGCUCACUGACAAACUUCUCACCAGGAAAGAGGGGAUAGAAGGUGAAAUGUGGACCUCUUCAGGGCCUGACUGUUCUCAACGCAGAACAAACAAACAUGUGCAAAGCAGUGGGUCUACAGAGCCGACCACCUGGAGGUAAACUCAUUAAGAGUCCUAUAAAAACCUUCUGCUAGCACAGCAAGCCUUGCACCAUUUCCCCACCAACAAAAUUAUAACAACCACUAC